UGGUUUCUCAAAGAAUAUUUUUGUAAAGUUCUAGAAUUUAAAAAAUUAUUACUAGUUAAUGAUUAAAGGCCUUACUAGUCAUUACUUUUAGAAAAGGUGGGAGCAAACACAGUAUAUAUUACUAUUUUAUUUAACCCAAUACUUUUCAAAUUUAUUUGAACUUGGUAUUACUCACUUCAUCUUCCUUCAAAUUUCCAUUCUUUCUUUCCUUUUUAAGGAUGUUUCUAAAAUCUCCCACAGGACAAAUCAGGAAUUGUCACUAUUAAGUUUCCUGCACAUGGCAUGUGUGCACACAAGCACACAAACACACACACAUACACACCCUCACGAUAUAUUAUUUUGCUUUUUUACUUUAGAUUGCUCUAAAUAAUCAGGAGUUAACCAAGCACAGUAGAAGUUAAAGUUAUGUCUGGGGGAAGGAAAAGUUUUUCAGUGGGCACAACAUCUUUGUAUGUGGUGCUGAGGAUCGAACCUGGGCCACACGCAUGCCAGCACCAUUUGUUGAAGAGGCCAUCCUUUCUCCAAUGAAGAUUCUCUCUCCUUAGUUAAGAUUAGCUAUCUUGCUGUGAAUCUACUUCUGGGUGAUCCUUUGUUUGGAUUGUCUUUUCUUUAGUAAAUGCCAUACUAUCUUGAUGCUUGAAUCUUUAUGAGUCCUCAAUUGAUGGGGCUCCUUUCCUGUAUGUGUUAUUGUUUUCAAAUAUUAAGUGUGCAAUUCAGUGUCUUUGCUUUUCUGUAUAAGGUUUAGAACCAGCAUGUCAGUAACACAGUUUAAUUUUCUGAGAAUUUAAAAAUAUAAUAAUAAUAUUUUAAGUAAGAAUUACUUGACAAAUAGUAAUUGUUUAUAUAUAUAUAAUUUCUUUUUUGAUGGUGCUGGGGGCUGAACCUAGGGUUUUGUGCAUGCAAGUAAAGCAUUGUACUAACUAAGCUAUAUCCCCAGCCCCUAUAAUUGUUCAUAUUGAUGGAUAAAACUUUUUGAAAUUUUGUUUGGGAUUGCACUGAAUCUGUAGAUACAACUGGGAAAAACUGGCAUCUUAACAGUUCUGAGUUUUUCUUUUCUGAAGUGUGAAAUAUCUUUUUUUUAUUUUUCAAAAAUUUCUAAGUAAAGUUGUAAUUUUACUCACA
This is a long non-coding RNA of Marmota monax (woodchuck), 1122 nucleotides long. RefSeq lists it as uncharacterized. The record is from RefSeq and is a predicted model, not a curated record. The transcript is spliced from 3 exons. Lineage: Eukaryota; Metazoa; Chordata; Mammalia; Rodentia; Sciuridae.